Molecule: long non-coding RNA, 693 nt
Filed under: Carica papaya (papaya)
Lineage: Eukaryota; Viridiplantae; Streptophyta; Magnoliopsida; Brassicales; Caricaceae
Description: long non-coding RNA (CPAP_LNC014116)
Source: RNAcentral
UGGUCAGCCUUCAAAGGGUUUUUUAGUACUCUUCAUGAAACUGAUUAUGAAUCACAUCCACUAACGGCUAACAGAAAUGGGAUUCUGGAAGAAGGAAAACUCUCUGUUCAUAGAAAAUUAAUCCAACCUUAUCUCCCAACGUUCGUUCAAAUCACCUUAUGAAAAGUGACUUACCAGCUACUGCAUGGUAGCAGAAUCUUUUACCUUCUUAUAGAUUCCACCAAAGUAAUCAAGAGAAGGAAUUGAAACAGCAAGACAAUUACCAGUGGAUUAAAUUAUCGAGAAAGAAGUGAAAAACUACUUGCUCUAAUAGAAAUUUAAGACUACAACGAUCCAUUUUGAUCAAGAACUGUUGGCCCCAUAAAUAAGGCCGCCAAUGUCGAAUGGCCUUCAUCAAUCCAAUCAGUUCUUUUUUAAGCAAGGUAGUGUGUUAUGAUGAAAAAUUAAUAUUGGAAAAGUAAUUGCCUUAUCUUGUUGUUGCAGAACAGCUCCAAUACCCAAGUCAAAAGCAUCACAUUCAAUGAUGAAAGUGUGAGAAAUCAGGACGAGCCAACACUAGAGUAAAAGAUAUGGCAUCUCUGAGAAUCUCAAAAGCAGCACGACUUUCAUCAGUUAAUUGAAUAGAAUUCUUCUUGAGCAUGUCGGUUAAGGUAGCAGCGAUAAUGCAAUAGUAAUGAAUACAUUUGCGGUAAU